Molecule: ribosomal RNA, 347 nt
Filed under: uncultured fungus
Lineage: Eukaryota; Fungi
Description: SSU rRNA
Rfam family: Eukaryotic small subunit ribosomal RNA
Source: RNAcentral
GUAGUCAUAUGCUUGUCUCAAAGAUUAAGCCAUGCAUGUCUAAGUAUAAGCAAUUUAUACGGUGAAACUGCGAAUGGCUCAUUAAAUCAGUUAUAGUGUAUUUGAUAGUACCUUACUACAUGGAUACCUGUGGUAAUUCUAGAGCUAAUACAUGCUUAAAACUCCGACUUCGGAAGGAGUGUAUUUAUUAGAUAAAAAACCAAUGCCCUCCGGGGCUCCUUGGUGAAUCAUGAUAACUUCUCGAAUCGCAUGGCCUUGCGCUGGCGAUGGUUCAUUCAAAUUUCUGCCCUAUCAACUUUCGAUGGUAGGAUAGUGGCCUACCAUGGUGGCAACGGGUAACGGGGAAU